Molecule: ribosomal RNA, 253 nt
Filed under: uncultured bacterium
Lineage: Bacteria
Description: partial 16S ribosomal RNA
Rfam family: Bacterial small subunit ribosomal RNA
Source: RNAcentral
UACGGAGGGUGCAAGCGUUGCUCGGAAUUAUUGGGCGUAAAGGGUAGGUAGGUGGUCUCGUUUGUCUGGGGUGAAAGCCUUGAGCUUAACUCAAGAAGUGCCUUAGAAACGGCGAGGCUAGAGUCUUGGAGAGGGUCGUGGAAUUCCCGGUGUAGCGGUGAAAUGCGUAGAGAUCGGGAGGAACACCAGAGGCGAAGGCGGCGACCUGGGCAAGUACUGACACUCAACUACGAAAGCGUGGGGAGCAAACAGG